Molecule: long non-coding RNA, 2119 nt
Organism: Papaver somniferum (opium poppy)
Lineage: Eukaryota; Viridiplantae; Streptophyta; Magnoliopsida; Ranunculales; Papaveraceae
Exons: 10
Source: RefSeq, a predicted model, not a curated record
UUAAUUCCCGAUUCAUAAAUUGGAUUUCGAUUAUGUAACGGCAGAGCUGUGUGUGGAUGAUUUAGCAUAUCCAUUUUCUUUUCACUACCAUAUAUGGAUCUUUCAAUCGUAGGAUCCCUUUCAUUAUCUCGUCGUGUUCCGGUUAAUGGUAGUUUAUUCAUGUUCAAGUAAUUUAUUUCUCCUACCUUCUCUAUUCCAUAACAGAUCAGGAACCCUAGGAUGCCUUUACAAUCUCUCCUCAACAACAGAAGGUAUUUCGAAUCUAGAUUAAUUUCUGGCUACUACACACACAAAACAAAAAACCCUCAUCCUUCAUUAAUUUGAUUCUCUAUAUAAAAUGUCAAAUCUCAAUCGAGAGCAGCAUCAAUUCCACUUGAACAUUUGCUGCCCAACAGGUACAAUCCUUAGUUACAAAGGGCAAGUUGAAGAGUUUCUGAUCCCCUGACGAAGGAAAAUCAAGCGUUGUUACUGUUCGUUCGUGUUACUAGGAAAUGGGAAGAAUUGGACUUUAAGUCCACCAACGACGUCACCAGUGUCGAUAUGGUUAUUGUUGACGAGCAGUUAGUGAUCCCCCUGUUUCCGUAAAUUUACAGGGUACAGAUUCAAUUAUGUCUGACUAACACCUUCACUGCUACAAGGAGAUGAGUUAGAUGCCAUCAUACCCAAAAAUCUUUUCUGGAAAUUCGGUAAGCAGUUGAGAAAUUGCACUUGAUGUGGUGGGCACGGGUAUAAAAACCCCUGCACACCAUAUCACCUAUCCCAUUACAAACUCAUUGGUCUAGCUAUUAUCUCAAGGCUUGCAUUGUUUUUUUUCUCCAAGGAUUUCAUAAAUCCUAGUUUCGUCUAAAAUUGAAGAUUACCAUAAUGGCCACUCAAAUCAGUUCCAUUAGGAGAGCAGCCAAAAAAUCUUCUCAUACCUACAUACUGGACUCGGAAGAACAAACUCAUCUCUUCCAGACUUCGAGUUGACUGGGGAAAUAACUUCGAAAGAGACAAACAUCCCGGAUGUAUUGCCUGAUAUAUUUCAAUAUACCCAUCAAAAUCAGAAAAAGACUGUUAACGACUUGCUACAACAUAUUGGAAAACUAAAGGAUGGAAGCACAUUCCGGACAAAUAAAAGGUUUGCAGACAAUUGGUACCUUAUUGUCUCGCCGAAUUCCCGGAACUGGGCAUUAUAAACUCUUGAUGUUUCACAUGCAACAAAUCGUGCCAACCAACACCGAGGAUGAAACUUAUAAUGGAAGUAGAAGACUUGACUGGAUAUUCUAUGUUCAUGGCCGCGGGGACGGUGAAAGAAGAUUUAGUCCAAUGUAGCGCCUCUAUAAUGAUGGGCGUUCACAAGGUUCUUUCCCUAUGCCAUGUUUUUGAAGUCCUAUAUGUUGUUUCGUGUUACGUGUGGCGGAUGCAUACACUGUGGACGGUGAAACCAUGUUUCCAGUGUCGCUGUAACCAGGCCAAAUUGCUAGACAGUGCUAACUUAUGCUGAAAAGAUGGUUGCCGAUGUUAACGCUAAAAGUGAAACUAGGCAUACCAAUAUCAUCUGGAACUUGAUUGCAGAACUGUUUGAAAUAGAAUGGGAUCACAGUUACAAUCUUCGGACUGCAGUGGAGCCUCCCGUAAUAUACUCUGUCAAUGUUCUAGACUAAUUGUGCGAGCUCGACGAUGAUAAACAGAACAUAUUAUGUAUCCAAUCGACCGUUGCCCAGCUCAUGUUUGUGAAAAGGGACCCCACCCCGGCAGUGUUAUGGCUGAAACUGUCAAGCAAAGCACCAGCGUUGUAUUGCUCAACACAAUAGGACUUGCAUAGCAUAAAUAGUUACAAUGCCAUCCCGUUCAUGUGGAUUGAUUAAUAAGGUUCAUAGGGUGAUCGGCUUAAUUGGCAGAGUGGGUGUUGUUAUUUUCCUUCCCUGGGUCCAUAUUGCGGUAUGUAAGGGACGUCAAGCUAACUUUAGAUUUUGUUGGGACUUCAAGCUAACUUUAAAUUUUGUUGUGUUGCCUACGUAUAGUUGGGAAUGUAGAAAUCUUUGGUUCAUGGGUUAUGAUUACAUUUGUGAAACUGCGAUGCCAAACAUACUUUUGAAUAAUUUUACUUCAAUAAUUAUGUAUCUCAUUUUUCUGA